This 73-nucleotide transfer RNA is filed under the name Adelastes hylonomos (Neblina frog). RNAcentral's name for it is "tRNA-Leu". It matches the Rfam family "tRNA". From Rfam's summary of the family: Transfer RNA (tRNA) molecules are approximately 80 nucleotides in length. Their secondary structure includes four short double-helical elements and three loops (D, anti-codon, and T loops). The record is from RNAcentral. Lineage: Eukaryota; Metazoa; Chordata; Amphibia; Anura; Microhylidae.
GUUAGUGAAGCAUAAUCAGGCCAUGCAAAAGACCUAAACCCUUUUUCUAGGGGUUCAAAUCCCCUCCCUAACU